RNA transcript from Helianthus annuus (common sunflower), 3399 nucleotides. RefSeq lists it as uncharacterized. The record is from RefSeq and is a predicted model, not a curated record. The transcript is spliced from 9 exons. Lineage: Eukaryota; Viridiplantae; Streptophyta; Magnoliopsida; Asterales; Asteraceae.
AGGAACGGAGGAGAUGAAUCGGGUGGGUUUCGGUAGACAAACGGAUCCUGGAUCCGGGUCAAACCGAGUAAACAAAAUCAAUCACACAGGAGGAGGGUCUCUCGUUUGUACGUGUGAUAAGAAAUCAAAAAAAUGGAGAAGAUUACUACUACUACUACUACUACGAGCGGUCUUCACCCCUUCUCUUUCCCAUUAUACCCACCUUCACCCCCACCCCCAAUUACUCAAACCCUAAUUUCACCUUACUCUCUUUUUCCCCUUUUAUAUUAUUCAAUCCACCAUCCAUUAUUCCAUCCCUUUGUUUCAUUCGAUCACCACUUUCUCUGUGCGUCUUCUUUCUAACGUACGCUUCCCCUUUAGUAUCCCACAAGGGUAUCGACCUAUUCGCUCUGUCGGUGAUUCUUGGUGUCUAAAUUUUGAAUCUUUUUACUGGGACUGUUUGUUUACGUUGCGAUUUUCUGCCACUAUCUAAUUAUUGGCUAAAAAGCGAGCCAACAUGGAUGAGUUUGGAGGUCCUCGACUCGAAGGCACUGGUAACACCUUUAAACGAAAGAGGACCCAAACCAGCAGAAGACCGAAACCCGAAGUUCCGGCAUUACCCGAAAACCAUGAUCAAUCAUCCUUAUCAUCAACACCACCGUCAGAUGAAGCCGGAAAGAUAUCAAGUGAUGAGAAUGCCGUUGAUGCUAAUCCUAAGAGAAAAGUAUACAAUCUUAAUCAAUGUGUUACAAGAUCAGAAAGUGAUUACUCAAGUAAGAGAUAUAAUAAUGAAUCGCAUAGCAAUGGUGGCUCGAUAGAUGCAAAUGAAAAUAAAUUAAAAAAAGUCAAACUGAAGUUAGGUGGUGUGACUAGGACUAUUCAACCCAAGUUUAAUUCCGCAACUUCGAAGAAUUCAGGAUCUUUGGAUGUGACUCGUGCUCGGCCAAAGUUGAUUCUUCAGGACAAUUCUGAUGAAGACGAUUCUCCGUCUUUAGAUAAAAAGAUCGGGUUACAAGGGAUUCCUUGGAAGGAUUUCUCUAGGGUCGGUUUUACCCUCGGGAGAGAAAACGCUUCAACGGGUACCGAAAAAACCGACAGCACGAGAAAGAGCAAAAGGGUACCGAAAAAACGUGUUUUAGAUGGUGAUUUUGUUGACGAAGAUGACGAUGAGAUACGGUAUCUUGAAAAACUGAGAAGCGUUAGAAGUAGAGAUUACGAUGAUGAUUCGAGUAAGAAACACAGGAGUCUUUCUAGAGUUAUUAAAGACGACCCGAGCCCAUUAACGUCAGGGAGAGAUAGUGGUUCUGUUGACACAGAUUACGAGGAGGAAGAUCUGGUAUCUGAUAAUGAGAACGAAGGGAACAAGGGAAAGAAACCUCGAAGCGAUUCUCCCGAUUCUCAAAAUGUAGCUAAAAGGGAAACAACUCUCACGUCACGUCAACGUGCGAUACGUUCUGGUAGGGAUUCUGCUUCUGCCGCUACUCAAAUCGAGUUUCCAAACGGAUUGCCACCUGCCGCACCUCGAAAGCAAAAGGAGAAACUUACUGAUGUGGAGCAGCAACUUAAGAAAGCCGAGGCUGCCGAAAGACGCAGGAUUCAGAAUGAGAAAGCAGCUCGUGAAUCAGAGGCUGAAGCAAUCAGGAAGAUACUUGGUCAAGAUUCAAGUAGGAAGAAACGAGAAGACAAAUUAAAGAAGCGCCAGGAAGAGUUGGCGCAGGAAAAGGCUGCCAAUGCAAAAAUACUAGCACCCAACACUAUUCGAACAGUUAUUGGACCAACGGGAACUACUGUUGCAUUUGCGGAAGAUAUCGGUCUGCCUCAUAUUUUUAACCCAAAGUCUAGCUGUUAUCCCCCAAGAAGAGAAAGAUGUGUUGGACCAUCUUGUACGAAUGCGUACAAGUAUCGAGAUUCGAAAUUAAAGUUACCUCUUUGUAGCCUGCAAUGCUAUAAAGCGGUUCAUGAAAAGAUGCAGGCCGAAACCAUCUGCUAGUGCUUGAAGGUGUAGUAACAUUCUAGCAACUAAAUAGUUCGAGUUUUUGGGGUGUUACAAGUUGGUAUCAGAGCGGAAUUCAAGAUUUAAUCUUGUGCAUGGACCCAAAUACAUGAUCAUCUAGCCCUAACAAACACAUGGAUAGGCCCUCGGAAGUGUGGACUUAUACCUUCGGAGUUAGCAAGACUAGGGAAGCGGUAUAUCAAGCAAGAAGCAUGGAGUCUAUGAGGUAAGCGACCUUCAACUCGCUUCUUAGUAUACAUAAGGAUUUCUUGUUUGUAAUUGAAGGGAAGCUAUGUACGAUAUGAAAUAAUUGAAAGCAUUAAGAUAAGUAUUGAUAUAAAUAAUUGAAGGUAGCUUGUGGGACCAAACGGGUCGAAUAAAUAAAGAUAAGUAAGCUAACGGUAAUAAUACGGGUAAUGAACAGGGUCCCGGGAAAGGAACUUUAGUCUAACACAUAAGGAAUCGUUUUACGGAUGUUUAGGAACAGGUUUCGUGUGAAACGGAUGCAAAACGAAUAAGUUAUGCGAGUUCUAGCAUCAAUUUGGGGAGCCAAACUGGGCACCACCGUAGCUUACGGUGCCCACCGUAAGUUACGGUGGGUGCUGAACCUGUUUUCUGCCGUAAGGCAGUACAUGACUGCCGUAAGCCAUUUAAUGACCACCGUAAGCUACGGUGACCACCGUAGCUUACGGUGGAGGUCAGAUGCAAAUAUUAAGUUUGUGGAUUUCCUUGUUUUUCCUUCGAAUUCGGACCCCGUGGAAUCAUUCCAAGCCUUGUUAAGUUUUUAUAAUGUCCUUUAACCCUACCAAAUGGCUUGGUAAGUUACGGAUGAGUAUGAAAUUCAUUUUUUAAGAAUCGAAACAUAUCCGAUAGAUAUUAUAAAGUGAUUGUGAUGUGCAAAUGAGAUCGGGGUACGUAAGCGAGUUGGCGGGAUAAUGAAUUAAGUACGUGGGCAUGUAGGUAUGCAUGUAUUAAGUAGGAUUUUUUAUCUUUUAAGGAUUUGUGUUAGAUAAGACGUAUGCGUGUUAAAUUAACCGAAGGUUUUCCGAAAGAGUGAGACUUGGAUAAAGGUAUGUAUGUUCUAAUAUAUAUACGAGUAUUGAUGAUAUUAACUGAGUUAUCUAUGAGACUGAAAUGAAAGUGCAGGAAGGUAAGCGUGGGGCUCUCAGCGAUUGGAGGUCCGGUGUAAAGAACGAAUUUGGAAGAACAUCUUGAUGGAGUAGAACUCACAGAUAGAAUGCUACGAUUGUUAUUAUAUUUUCAUUAAUUUUGUAUGAUGUCAUCAUUUACUAAUGUGUUAGUGAUGUAUGGUGAUCGCAGGCUAUUCGGAUCAUUAUAUUCUUCAUGAGGAACAAGAGCAUGAGGAUCGAGUUGAAGAUCAUGGAUUGUACGGAAAAGUUGUCACGUGGGUUGUAUUCAUAUGUUAU